Lactarius akahatsu is the source of this 103-nucleotide non-coding RNA. The record is from the annotation of a GenBank genome assembly. Lineage: Eukaryota; Fungi; Basidiomycota; Agaricomycetes; Russulales; Russulaceae.
GGGCGGAUGGCACAGUGGUAGCGCGCUUGCUUCGCAAGUUCACGAUGUUUCACAUUGUGAGCCCCGUUGCAUGAGGUCGUGGGUUCAAACCCCACUUCGUCCA